RNAcentral lists this ribosomal RNA (484 nucleotides) under uncultured bacterium. Its description in RNAcentral is "partial 16S ribosomal RNA". It matches the Rfam family "Bacterial small subunit ribosomal RNA", at positions 28 to 523 of the family's 1533-position model. The record is from RNAcentral.
GACGAACGCUGGCGGCGUGCUUAACACAUGCAAGUCGAACGAUGAUGCUGGAGCUUGCUCCAGUUGAUUAGUGGCGAACCGGUGAGUAACACGUGAGCAAUCUGCCCUUGACUCUGGGAUAACUGCGGGAAACUGUAGCUAAUACCGGAUACUUUCACCGGGGGGCAUCCUCUGGUGAUGAAAGAAUUUCGGUCAAGGAUGAGCUCGCGGCCUAUCAGCUUGUUGGUGAGGUAACGGCUCACCAAGGCGACGACGGGUAACCGGCCUGAGAGGGUGACCGGUCACACUGGGACUGAGACACGGCCCAGACUUCUACGGGAGGCAGCAGUGGGGAAUAUUGCACAAUGGGCGCAAGCCUGAUGCAGCAACGCCGCGUGAGGGAUGAAGGCCUUCGGGUUGUAAACCUCUUUUAGCAGGGAAGAAGCGAAAGUGACGGUACCUGCAGAAAAAGCACCGGCUAACUACGUGCCAGCCGCCGCAGUAA